AUGCCCUGGCAGUCAGAGGCGAUGAAGGACGUGCUAAUCUGCGAUAAGCGUCGGUAAGGUGAUAUGAACCGUUAUAACCGGCGAUUUCCGAAUGGGGAAACCCAGUGUGAUUCGUCACACUAUCAUUAACUGAAUCCAUAGGUUAAUGAGGCGAACCGGGGGAACUGAAACAUCUAAGUACCCCGAGGAAAAGAAAUCAACCGAGAUUCCCCCAGUAGCGGCGAGCGAACGGGGAGGAGCCCAGAGCCUGAAUCAGUGUGUGUGUUAGUGGAAGCGUCUGGAAAGGCGCGCGAUACAGGGUGACAGCCCCGUACACAAAAAUGCACAUGCUGUGAGCUCGAUGAGUAGGGCGGGACACGUGGUAUCCUGUCUGAAUAUGGGGGGACCAUCCUCCAAGGCUAAAUACUCCUGACUGACCGAUAGUGAACCAGUACCGUGAGGGAAAGGCGAAAAGAACCCCGGCGAGGGGAGUGAAAAAGAACCUGAAACCGUGUACGUACAAGCAGUGGGAGCCUCUUUAUGGGGUGACUGCGUACCUUUUGUAUAAUGGGUCAGCGACUUAUAUUCUGUAGCAAGGUUAACCGAAUAGGGGAGCCGAAGGGAAACCGAGUCUUAACUGGGCGUUAAGUUGCAGGGUAUAGACCCGAAACCCGGUGAUCUAGCCAUGGGCAGGUUGAAGGUUGGGUAACACUAACUGGAGGACCGAACCGACUAAUGUUGAAAAAUUAGCGGAUGACUUGUGGCUGGGGGUGAAAGGCCAAUCAAACCGGGAGAUAGCUGGUUCUCCCCGAAAGCUAUUUAGGUAGCGCCUCGUGAAUUCAUCUCCGGGGGUAGAGCACUGUUUCGGCAAGGGGGUCAUCCCGACUUACCAACCCGAUGCAAACUGCGAAUACCGGAGAAUGUUAUCACGGGAGACACACGGCGGGUGCUAACGUCCGUCGUGAAGAGGGAAACAACCCAGACCGCCAGCUAAGGUCCCAAAGUCAUGGUUAAGUGGGAAACGAUGUGGGAAGGCCCAGACAGCCAGGAUGUUGGCUUAGAAGCAGCCAUCAUUUAAAGAAAGCGUAAUAGCUCACUGGUCGAGUCGGCCUGCGCGGAAGAUGUAACGGGGCUAAACCAUGCACCGAAGCUGCGGCAGCGACACUAUGUGUUGUUGGGUAGGGGAGCGUUCUGUAAGCCUGUGAAGGUGUGCUGUGAGGCAUGCUGGAGGUAUCAGAAGUGCGAAUGCUGACAUAAGUAACGAUAAAGCGGGUGAAAAGCCCGCUCGCCGGAAGACCAAGGGUUCCUGUCCAACGUUAAUCGGGGCAGGGUGAGUCGACCCCUAAGGCGAGGCCGAAAGGCGUAGUCGAUGGGAAACAGGUUAAUAUUCCUGUACUUGGUGUUACUGCGAAGGGGGGACGGAGAAGGCUAUGUUGGCCGGGCGACGGUUGUCCCGGUUUAAGCGUGUAGGCUGGUUUUCCAGGCAAAUCCGGAAAAUCAAGGCUGAGGCGUGAUGACGAGGCACUACGGUGCUGAAGCAACAAAUGCCCUGCUUCCAGGAAAAGCCUCUAAGCAUCAGGUAACAUCAAAUCGUACCCCAAACCGACACAGGUGGUCAGGUAGAGAAUACCAAGGCGCUUGAGAGAACUCGGGUGAAGGAACUAGGCAAAAUGGUGCCGUAACUUCGGGAGAAGGCACGCUGAUAUGUAGGUGAAGUCCCUCGCGGAUGGAGCUGAAAUCAGUCGAAGAUACCAGCUGGCUGCAACUGUUUAUUAAAAACACAGCACUGUGCAAACACGAAAGUGGACGUAUACGGUGUGACGCCUGCCCGGUGCCGGAAGGUUAAUUGAUGGGGUCAGCGCAAGCGAAGCUCUUGAUCGAAGCCCCGGUAAACGGCGGCCGUAACUAUAACGGUCCUAAGGUAGCGAAAUUCCUUGUCGGGUAAGUUCCGACCUGCACGAAUGGCGUAAUGAUGGCCAGGCUGUCUCCACCCGAGACUCAGUGAAAUUGAAC
Molecule: ribosomal RNA, 1992 nt
Filed under: Escherichia coli
Lineage: Bacteria; Pseudomonadati; Pseudomonadota; Gammaproteobacteria; Enterobacterales; Enterobacteriaceae
Description: partial 23S ribosomal RNA
Rfam family: Bacterial large subunit ribosomal RNA
Source: RNAcentral